GACGAACGCUGGCGGCGUGCUUAACACAUGCAAGUCGAGCGAUGAAGUUUCUUCGGAAAUGGAUUAGCGGCGAACGGGUGAGGAACACGUGAAGAAUCUGCCCUCCACUUUGGGAUAACACCGGGAAACCGGUGCUAAUACUGAAUAUUGAAGCAUAAGUGGCAUCACUGAGUUUUGAAAGAAUUUCGGUGGAGGAUGACUUCACGGCCUAUCAGCUAGUUGGUGAGGUAAUGGCUCACCAAGGCAACGACGGGUAGCCGGCCUGAGAGGGCGACCGGCCACACUGGGACUGAGACACGGCCCAGACUCCUACGGGAGGCAGCAGUGGGGAAUAUUGGGCAAUGGAGGAAACUCUGACCCAGCGACGCCGCGUGCGGGAUGAAGGCCUUCGGGUUGUAAACCGCUUUCAGUAGGGAAGAAGCGAAAGUGACGGUACCUACAAAAGAAGCACCGGCUAACUAUGUGCCAGCAGCCGCAGUAA
This 481-nucleotide ribosomal RNA is filed under the name uncultured bacterium. RNAcentral's name for it is "partial 16S ribosomal RNA". It matches the Rfam family "Bacterial small subunit ribosomal RNA", at positions 28 to 523 of the family's 1533-position model. The record is from RNAcentral.